GACGAACGCUGGCGGCGUGCUUAACACAUGCAAGUCGAACGGAAAGGCCCUGUUUUUGUGGGGUGCUCGAGUGGCGAACGGGUGUGUAACACGUGAGUAACCUGCCCUUGACUUUGGGAUAACUUCAGGAAACUGGGGCUAAUACCGGAUAUGAACACCUUCUGCAUGGUGGGGGUUGGAAAGUUUCGGCGGUUGGGGAUGCACUCGAGGCUUAUCAGCUUGUUGGUGGGGUAGUGGCGUACCACGGCUUUGACGGGUAGCCGGCCUGGGAGGGUGACCGGGCACAAUGGGACUGGGGUACGGCCCGGAGUCCUACGGGAGGCAGCAGUGGGGAAUAUUGCACAAUGGGCGGAAGGCUGAUGGAGCAACGCCGGGUGCGGGAUGACGGCCUUCAGGGUGUAAACCGGUUGAGACUGUGACGCAGAGUGAGUGACGGUAAUGGGUCAAGAAGCAACGGCUAACUACGUG
RNAcentral lists this ribosomal RNA (468 nucleotides) under uncultured bacterium. Its description in RNAcentral is "partial 16S ribosomal RNA". It matches the Rfam family "Bacterial small subunit ribosomal RNA", at positions 28 to 507 of the family's 1533-position model. The record is from RNAcentral.